AUACGGAGGGUGCAAGCGUUAAUCGGAAUCACUGGGCGUAAAGCGCGCGCAGGCGGCCAUUUAAGUUGGAUGUGAAAGCCUACGGCUCAACCGUAGAACUGCAUCCAAAACUAUUUGGCUAGAGUGUGGGAGAGGAAGAUGGAAUUAGUUGUGUAGGGGUAAAAUCCGUAGAGAUAACUAGGAAUACCAAAAGCGAAGGCAAUCUUCUGGAACAUUACUGACGCUGAGGUGCGAAAGCGUGGGGAGCAAACAGGAUUAGAAACCCGAGUAGUCC
This 274-nucleotide ribosomal RNA is filed under the name uncultured bacterium. RNAcentral describes it as "partial 16S ribosomal RNA". It matches the Rfam family "Bacterial small subunit ribosomal RNA", at positions 523 to 796 of the family's 1533-position model. The record is from RNAcentral.